GGAAGGAUACCCAAGUCUGGCUAUAAGGGGAUUAAUAUUUAAUAUUAAUUAGGAGCUUUUUGCUCGCGUUGGUUCGAAUCCUUCUCCUUCCGCUA
Molecule: transfer RNA, 95 nt
Filed under: Staphylococcus massiliensis S46
Lineage: Bacteria; Bacillati; Bacillota; Bacilli; Caryophanales; Staphylococcaceae
Description: tRNA-OTHER
Rfam family: tRNA
About the family: Transfer RNA (tRNA) molecules are approximately 80 nucleotides in length. Their secondary structure includes four short double-helical elements and three loops (D, anti-codon, and T loops). Further hydrogen bonds mediate the characteristic L-shaped molecular structure. tRNAs have two regions of fundamental functional importance: the anti-codon, which is responsible for specific mRNA codon recognition, and the 3' end, to which the tRNAs corresponding amino acid is attached (by aminoacyl-tRNA synthetases). tRNAs cope with the degeneracy of the genetic code in two manners: having more than one tRNA (with a specific anti-codon) for a particular amino acid; and 'wobble' base-pairing, i.e. permitting non-standard base-pairing at the 3rd anti-codon position.
Source: RNAcentral